AUUGGUGAGCAUCAUUUAUGUUAGAUGUAUUUGCUUUUCUUCACAGCUACAAAUCAUCUGAACAUGUGAAGGUCCAAAGGAAGACAUAACACCAGCUGUAUCAUAAGGAUGAGGCUGCACUAACUUCAGGCACUCAGGGUUAUUUUGCUGCAGGUCAACUGGGCCGAAUGGGCCCCCUGAAGGGGUGAGGACUGAUGCUGGCAAUAGAGAAAAAGAGGCAGCCACGCCACUGGGAAAAUGAGGAGAGAGAAAUCAGAGGAAGGGACUGCAGCCUUCAGAGAAGCACAUUGUCAAUGCAACAAUGAUUUUUUAAAUAGCAGGAUACGAACAGAGCAAAAUUUGCCAGUCUUUCACAUGUUCAGCAAACUUUAUUCUUAUUUAAGCAAAGCACUGUGAGCUAU
Molecule: long non-coding RNA, 401 nt
Filed under: Chrysolophus pictus (golden pheasant)
Lineage: Eukaryota; Metazoa; Chordata; Aves; Galliformes; Phasianidae
Description: lncRNA (ENSCPIG00010005585.1)
Source: RNAcentral